Molecule: non-coding RNA, 45 nt
Filed under: Schistosoma margrebowiei
Lineage: Eukaryota; Metazoa; Platyhelminthes; Trematoda; Strigeidida; Schistosomatidae
Source: RNAcentral
GUCCAGCUGAUGAGUCCCAACUAGGAUGACAUGCGUGUCCUGGAU